UGGGGAAUUUUGGACAAUGGGCGCAAGCCUGAUCCAGCCAUGCCGCGUGCGGGAAGAAGGCCUUCGGGUUGUAAACCGCUUUUGUCAGGGAAGAAAUCUUCUGAGUUAAUACCUCGGGAGGAUGACGGUACCUGAAGAAUAAGCACCGGCUAACUACGUGCCAGCAGCCGCGGUAAUACGUAGGGUGCAAGCGUUAAUCGGAAUUACUGGGCGUAAAGCGUGCGCAGGCGGUUUUGUAAGACAGAGGUGAAAUCCCCGGGCUCAACCUGGGAACUGCCUUUGUGACUGCAAGGCUUGAGUGCGGCAGGAGGGGAUGGAAUUCCGCGUGUAGCAGUGAAAUGCGUAGAUAUGCGGAGGAACACCGAUGGCGAAGGCAAUCCCCUGGGCCUGCACUGACGCUCAUGCACGAAAGCGUGGGGAGCAAACAGGAUUAGAUACCCUGGUAGUCCACGCCCUAAACGAUGUCAACUGGUUGUUGGGAAGGUUCCUUCUCAGUAACGUAGCUAACGCGUGAAGUUGACCGCCUGGGGAGUACGGCCGCAAGGUUGAAACUUAAAGGAAUUGACGGGGUCAUAGCUGUUUCCUG
RNAcentral lists this ribosomal RNA (586 nucleotides) under uncultured bacterium. RNAcentral's name for it is "partial 16S ribosomal RNA". It matches the Rfam family "Bacterial small subunit ribosomal RNA", at positions 355 to 1376 of the family's 1533-position model. The record is from RNAcentral.